GGGUGCGAUCAUACCAGCACUAAUGCACUGGAUCUCAUCAGAACUCCAAAGUUAAGCGUGCUUGGGAGAGAGUAGUACUAGGAUGGGUGACCUCUUGGGAAGUCCGUGUAUUGCACCCC
This is a non-coding RNA of Nelumbo nucifera (sacred lotus), 119 nucleotides long. The record is from Rfam. Lineage: Eukaryota; Viridiplantae; Streptophyta; Magnoliopsida; Proteales; Nelumbonaceae.